AAAUUAUUUUAGGCAUGGGAUCAAAGAAGAAACUUCUUUGUAGCAGCAUCCCAGUACUAGGACUUUUUGUCUCUGCAUGGAAAUCUGAAUAUAUUUAUAUGUUGGAGUGACAUCUCUACAGGAAGCCUAGAGACCUAACUGUUUGCUACAUGUCACCAAAGUUAAAGUGGCUACCUUAAUGAGCAGCCAGGAUGCCAUCAUCUCCGACCUGAAUGACAAUAACCUCCAAACCAGCCUUUGUAUACUCCUUCCUGCUGCUCUGCAGUCCACUUCCACAGACCAGCCAACUGAAUCUCCUUAUAGAUUCAUAAUGGCCAUCAGCACAAAGAUGUUUUAUCUGCAGUCAACCAGUCAUGUUUCAUGAUGGCAUCAAAAUGUGCUGGAAAAGGUCAGAGAAAAUCAUCAUCAUAAAGUGAAGUGAUUUUCUUCUUUAUGAGCUCCUGAUGUAAACAGACUGAUGAGCACAACACAAUCCUUACUCACCCACAUGACAUCAUACACAAUCACAGCUAAAUGUUUCUAUCUGUCAAAGCCUGAAGAGUGACUACCAGAUUGUUGCCUGAUUGCUAAGAAUUGAUGCUUGUUCAACUGGGAUCUAUCCAGAGAAACAUAAUCCACUUCAAGAAUUUUCUGAAAAGGGAAUCUAAUGCAAGGAAUUAAUUGCAAAGAUGAUGCAAUAUCUGAGAACGAUAGAUUUGACAGUUUGGUCUACAUUUCAAGGCUGGUUAGAUGGGAGGUAUGUCCUGGUAUAUUAGUUAAUUUAGGUAUAUCUUACUGAUUUACAUUGCAUGAUUUAUCAGAUGCUAUUGACUCAUUCAAGUAAAUACAUUUAAAAAUUAUACCUUUUGCUCAUACUAGUAAUUGGGUCAGUCAUGCUCUUGAAGGAGGCAUACUGGGAGCCAUACAUUACCAGAGGCAGAGGAUUCAAUGGAUGUUUUCUGUUUUCUCUUCUUCGUGCUCUGUAAUUGAGACACAGAACAAAGGAGGAAGACUAAGUGCUCUGCCUUAACUCAGGCCAGGCUGUGGGCGCAAGUGCACCAACGGCUUUGAGACUAACACACAGCUCAGAACAAGGAGGUGAAAAUCUGACAGCUCAAAAUGAAGCAAAAACCCAAGAUUAAAACAGACACCAUUUUGUGCCCACUCAGUCUUCUUUCCAGGGUCAUACAUGUGUUUAUAACCGCACUUCUACAUUCUAUUAUGAGGGCAAGAGUUGUGGCUGCUAUAUAAAUGCUUCCUAGCAUAGUUCCUGACAACUAGGUGAUUCAUGAAUAUUUGCUGAAGAAAUAAAAAUAACUUUAUGAA
This 1305-nucleotide long non-coding RNA is filed under the name Homo sapiens (human). Its description in RNAcentral is "HSALNT0376142". The record is from RNAcentral. Lineage: Eukaryota; Metazoa; Chordata; Mammalia; Primates; Hominidae.